Molecule: long non-coding RNA, 1272 nt
Organism: Gadus macrocephalus (Pacific cod)
Lineage: Eukaryota; Metazoa; Chordata; Actinopteri; Gadiformes; Gadidae
Exons: 2
Source: RefSeq, a predicted model, not a curated record
CCUGAACGUGUCAGAUGGAUCUUUGUACAGCUUCAAUGUGUCCAGCUACAGAGGAAUCUACUACUGCGUGGCCACGAAUCCCUUGGGAAACCAAACAUCAGAAGAGAUUAAGCUAACUUUCAGCGGUGAAAGCGUUGGUGGUUCCUGAAGAAACCUUCAACACAGCAACCGGUAUAGGAAGCAGGCACUGCGUUAGGGGUGGCCCUGACGGACCUAGGACCACCCACUGUUCAACAGGCCCACCCAAAACCUUUCUUGAAAAAAAAGAAAUUCUUCUGAAAUGCUUUAUUUUUUAAAUUUAUAUUGAUGCUUGAUCCGAUUUGCGUUAAAAGCGGUAGGCUAUUGUUUUAGUUAUUAUAGCCUAGGCUACAAUUGAAUGCAUCUUCUUUGUAUUAAAAGCCAAGCUCAGUCUGUUGCUAAUGAUAUCGAAAUAUUGUUGAAAACUUAAAAUCAAUUAAACAGAAUUCUAAAAUAGUCUGCCUCAUAUUAUACAAGCAUAACUAAACUAUAUCAUAUAGUUUAGUUAUACGGGAGCGAAAAAUUACUCUUGUGCCCGGCGCAUAUCUAAAAAGGGUUGUUCUGAAGUAGCCUAAUUACCCGUAGGUGUGGUUUGGGCGUGAAGUGCAGUAAACCAAUGAGAGUGCCAGCUCCCAUCCCCUUUAAGAGCCAUGAGCGCAUUUGAAUCUGACGAGUUGAUAUUUUGACAGCGCGUCUGCAGUCUCAGAUGAGACGGAUGCACAUGAAUUUCAAACUUCAAAUGGCUCAGUUGUUAAUGGCCAAAUAAUAUGGCCUAAUUCAUACAUGGAAUAAGGUUUUCUUCCACAACUUCAGUCCUCAAAUAAAUUUCGGCAAAGAAAACUUAGGAUGAUAUGACAUAUGAUAUGCGGUAACUGUGGUUCUAUUUAAUGAUAUACGCAAUACAUUAUAAACAUUGUUUCUUAUCAGUAUUGUAUGCAUUACCGUUAUCGACUUGUGUUCCUAAUAUGCAUGUGUCCCCCCGUUAAUAUACAUUGCCAUGGACUGUAUUAUGUGUUACGUGUUUAGUUUCCGUGUGUUUAAACAGAUGGACGCGCCCGCGCGUGUGUUAUAGAUACACACACACGCGCCCGCAUUCAUUCAUUCUUUUUAACACUCACUCGCGGUAAAACAAUGUUUUCUCACGAUCAAAUACAUCAAUCCUAACAGUUAUGGGCAUGUACACGAUGUCUGUGUCAAGAAAAUGUGUUUGAUGUACGGUGUUUGCAGAUGCAUUGAUUUAAAAGUACAACUUAU